This 465-nucleotide ribosomal RNA is filed under the name uncultured bacterium. RNAcentral describes it as "partial 16S ribosomal RNA". It matches the Rfam family "Bacterial small subunit ribosomal RNA", at positions 28 to 507 of the family's 1533-position model. The record is from RNAcentral.
GACGAACGCUGGCGGCGUGCUUAACACAUGCAAGUCGAACGGAAAGGCCCUGCUUGCAGGGUACUCGAGUGGCGAACGGGUGAGUAACACGUGGGUGAUCUGCCCUGCACUUCGGGAUAAGCCUGGGAAACUGGGUCUAAUACCGGAUAGGAGCCAUUUUUAGUGUGAUGGUUGGAAAGUUUUUUCGGUGUAGGAUGAGCUCGCGGCCUAUCAGCUUGUUGGUGGGGUAAUGGCCUACCAAGGCGGCGACGGGUAGCCGGCCUGAGAGGGUGGACGGCCACAUUGGGACUGAGAUACGGCCCAGACUCCUACGGGAGGCAGCAGUGGGGAAUAUUGCACAAUGGGCGCAAGCCUGAUGCAGCGACGCCGCGUGGGGGAUGACGGCCUUCGGGUUGUAAACUCCUUUCGCUAGGGACGAAGCUUUUUGUGAUGGUACCUAGAUAAGAAGCACCGGCUAACUACGCG